Molecule: long non-coding RNA, 1965 nt
Organism: Mugil cephalus (flathead mullet)
Lineage: Eukaryota; Metazoa; Chordata; Actinopteri; Mugiliformes; Mugilidae
Exons: 5
Source: RefSeq, a predicted model, not a curated record
CUUGGAGAUUUCUCCAUUAACCUCCAGUCUCUCUCUUUCUCUCUCCUUUUUUUUUUUUUUUUUUUUUCCUCUCUCUCUCUCCCCUCCCACCUCUUCACACACACACAUGCACACGCCCCGGACUCCUUCCCACUCAUUUCCCCUUCACGCGCGCUUACUAUCCACUUACACUGGAGACCGACUGCAAUGAGCUCAGGGUUUUUUCCCCUUUUCUUUUUUCCUUUUGCUUUGCCAUUCUCCGCUUCUCGCCCGUUCCCUCACGUAGCGAAGGCACCGCCACGCAGACAACGCUUUCUUCACCCCAACUGUGCGCGGCGCCCCUGAAAAAUGCAGGCCGUGGAUUGUCCCUGCGUUUAGACUGCUGCAUGCCACAAGCCGCUUGUCCUUUCCUGUAAACAGUUUUUUUUUUUCCUCGUCUGCUGCAGUAUUUUUUUUUCUCCCACUUCUGUUUAAGACCUUUUUUUUAAAAAAAAAAGAAAAAAAAAAGAAAAAAAAUCUGCAUUCUGAUGUAGGAGCUGAGGUUUGAAGGAAGGAAGGAAGGAAGGAAGGAAGGAAAAUCAUAUCUGUGAAUGGACAUGUGAAGGAAGGAGGCAGAGGCAAAGAAUGAGGGGAAAAUGGAGAGCAUGGUCUGCGGGAGAAAGCAAAAAAAAAAGAAAAAGACAGAGAGAGUGAGAGGAGAGACGUAGGAGAAAGAAGUACCGGCACUGGCAAGAAAAAACGGGAGGGGGAAGAGAGGAGAAGGAGGACCAGUAGGGGAUAGACUUAGGAAGGAGGGACGACUUGGAUAGGAAUUGGCAAAAUCGCGGGAAAAAGAAGAAAAAACAAAACUCCAGAAUGAGAAGAAGCUGGACUUCUCUCCAAACUCAGACCCCGCACUCUCCGGCCGCCCUCGAUUUUCGUUGUCUGACAUGUUUUUUCUCCACUUCUUCGGUCACGCUCUCAUUCAUCUAUUGAGACAGACAGACACACAUUCAAGGGCUGUUUUUAUUUUAUAUCAGGAAUGCCACGGUCGACCGUAGAAGCUCCUCGGUCUGAAGAGAGCCACGGGAAAAAAGCUCCAGCUAGAUCCCGGGUUGUGAGGACGUGAUCCGGUCCGGACUGCGGAGACGUGACGAGAAAAUAUUUCAUGUCAGACUGCAACGGCACCGAGAGCAGACAACGGCUCCGACGCUGACACUCAGCCAGGGUGGCUCGGUGCGCCCUGGCUCUCAGCCCUCCAUGUGUUUGUGCAUCCCAGGACAGUUGACAUUGAUUGUGCAGGAGACAGACUGAGACACAUUAGUACCCAGCUCGCUCCUGCUGCUGAAAAACACAUUAACUGGCUGCAUUGGGAGCCCUGUCUGGUAACCAUGGCAAAGCACACAGACGGGGAGGAGGAGGAGGAGGAGGAGGUGGAGGAAGAAGAAGAAGAGGAGGAGGAGGAGGAGGGCUGAGACGGGGCAGCGGGUUCAGCGCUCAGUCUCCCAGGGGUUGUCUUUCUCAAACACUCCCUUCCUUUCCUCCGGCCACGUCUGUCAUUUUCUCUCAGCCUCGUUUAAACUGACACUUUCUGUCCCCUCCUCACACACAUCUAAACGCAUUUGCAUAUUUCUUCUUCUUCUUCUUAUUGAUCAUUCUGCCCUUGCCCCGUGCUUUAGUUCCCUAUCCAAAUACCCCAUGCAGCAUAAUCUACUCUAUAAUUCGCCUUUUCCCCACUGCUUUUUUAUUCCCUGUCAAUAUGGUUCCUGUUUGUAGUGAAAUAAAGACUAAAAGGAGUUAAACAAAGUGGAAACACGGGAUAAACUCUGAGGAAAACGAGUCAAUGCUUCUUUACGAACAUGCUCGGAAUAUGGAGGUAGUAAUGCUCAUUGCGUAGACUGCAUGACAGGCAUUUUGUUGUUUUUAUCUCAUCUGUCUACUUGCACUACUGUGGCCUCUUUUUUCCUGUGUCCUAUGUGGCAUCAAUAAAGUUUGACAUAAAUCUUU